AUCAAACCUAGUGAGGACAACCCAGGUACCCAAUAACACUAUAUCAAACCUAGUGAGGACAACCCAGGUACCCAAUAACACUAUAUCAAACCUAGUGAGGACAACCCAGGUACCCAAUAACACUAUAUCAAACCUAGUGAGGACAACCCAGGUACCCAAUAACACUAUAUCAAACC
This is a long non-coding RNA of Physella acuta, 176 nucleotides long. RefSeq lists it as uncharacterized. NCBI's taxonomy places the organism in Eukaryota, Metazoa, Mollusca, Gastropoda, Physidae. The record is from RefSeq and is a predicted model, not a curated record.